This 481-nucleotide ribosomal RNA is filed under the name uncultured bacterium. RNAcentral describes it as "partial 16S ribosomal RNA". It matches the Rfam family "Bacterial small subunit ribosomal RNA", at positions 28 to 507 of the family's 1533-position model. The record is from RNAcentral.
GAUGAACGCUGGCGGCGUGCUUAACACAUGCAAGUCGAACGAAGCACUUUAUUUGAUUUCCUUCGGGACUGAUUAUUUUGUGACUGAGUGGCGGACGGGUGAGUAACGCGUGGGUAACCUGCCUUGUACAGGGGGAUAACAGUUGGAAACGGCUGCUAAUACCGCAUAAGCGCACAGCAUCGCAUGAUGCAGUGUGAAAAACUCCGGUGGUAUAAGAUGGACCCGCGUUGGAUUAGCUAGUUGGUGAGGUAACGGCCCACCAAGGCGACGAUCCAUAGCCGACCUGAGAGGGGGACCGGCCACAUUGGGACUGAGACACGGCCCAAACUCCUACGGGAGGCAGCAGUGGGGAAUAUUGCACAAUGGGCGAAAGCCUGAUGCAGCGACGCCGCGUGAGCGAAGAAGUAUUUCGGUAUGUAAAGCUCUAUCAGCAGGGAAGAUAAUGACGGUACCUGACGAAGAAGCACCGGCUAAAUACGUG